Molecule: long non-coding RNA, 632 nt
Filed under: Manihot esculenta (cassava)
Lineage: Eukaryota; Viridiplantae; Streptophyta; Magnoliopsida; Malpighiales; Euphorbiaceae
Description: long non-coding RNA (MESC_LNC008100)
Source: RNAcentral
ACUCCUUAUGCACUAUUAUUGCAAUGAAGCACAACAACAAACACACGCCUUACAAAUUCUCCUGAUUAUCUGAGGGAAAAUAAGGUAACAAAUUAUUAAAUUGUCUAAGUAUACUAUAUUCUAGCAGGAAGUAAAAAAAAAAAAAAAAAGAAUCACUCUGCUGCUGCAUCCCCACCAUUAAUUUCUUGGCUUCCUGUAUCUGGCAAGGUUCCAAAAUCUGUCCGAGCAUCUUUUUUUUCUUCAGAAACUGAAGAAUUUGAAGAAUCAACUGCAUCCUUUUGAGAAGAAUUAUUUGAGUCAUUCUGGCUGACAUCGUCUGUGUUUGAGGAUUCAUCUUUCUGUAUUUGGGAUGUUGAAGAUUCAGAGGAAACAACUUGUUCUUGGCUUGCAUCUGUGCUGGUAUGUGUGUUGCUUUUGUCAUUUACGUGGGUUUCAACUGCAUUGUUGUUCUCAUUCUGAUUAGCUUCACUGUUGUUAGAAUCAACAUGUUCUUCUUGGCUUGCAACUGUACGGUCAUCUGUGUUGCUGUGAACAUAACUCUCACUCUGAUUCUGGGCAGAGUCACCGUUAUCUUUUGAGUUCGAAGACACAUCUUUCUCUUGGGAUCCUGAAGAAACAACUUGUUCCUUUUG